UACGUAGGUGGCAAGCGUUAUCCGGAAUUAUUGGGCGUAAAGAGCGCGCAGGUGGUUGACUAAGUCUGAUGUGAAAGCCCACGGCUUAACCGUGGAGGGUCAUUGGAAACUGGUCGACUUGAGUGCAGAAGAGGGAAGUGGAAUUCCAUGUGUAGCGGUGAAAUGCGUAGAGAUAUGGAGGAACACCAGUGGCGAAGGCGGCUUCCUGGUCUGUAACUGACACUGAGGCGCGAAAGCGUGGGGAGCAAACAGGAUUAGAUA
Molecule: ribosomal RNA, 261 nt
Filed under: uncultured prokaryote
Description: partial 16S ribosomal RNA
Rfam family: Bacterial small subunit ribosomal RNA
Source: RNAcentral